Molecule: long non-coding RNA, 1046 nt
Organism: Camelina sativa (false flax)
Lineage: Eukaryota; Viridiplantae; Streptophyta; Magnoliopsida; Brassicales; Brassicaceae
Source: RefSeq, a predicted model, not a curated record
CUAGACCAAAUGCCCUGUUUUUAUUAUGUUGUUCAGCUCAUUCUUUAUAAAUCUGGCUGCUCAGAAAACAUGAUGGUUCUUUAUAAUAGAAGGAUACUGGUUUCAAUGAUAUAUUGGUUGGACGUGAAAGAGCGCUCAAUCUUUGGCAGGUUACAAAAUGUGUCUGUCAUGACUGUAUGAAUUUUACUGGCUAAAAAGACAUAGAUUGGACGUAAAACCGCGGAAAGUUUACUUUUGAGGGUCCUGUUCUUGAAGAAGCUGCCAACAUGCAUUGAAGCUGCAGCAGGGAUGUGUUUUCUAGUUGAAGACUAGUUCCUUUACUACUCUCGAGAUUUAUUACAAGAAUACCAGUAGCUGAAGUCGUAGACCGAAAGGCCAGACUACGUGCCCAACUCGUUGAUUUCUUUCUGUUAAAAAUGCGACGUGAUCGCUCCAUUGGGCAACAUGGAAGGAAAGGUAUGUUACAUUUCUGAAACAUGUGAUUUGAUCAUACCAAAGUUACUACCUAUUUUUGUUAAACGUCCUACAGAAUACUCAAAUAGAAGUCUAUUGAAUAUUUAGUUCCUGUUGCCUAACUUUGAUAUUGAAAUGGAUUUACUCUACAAGUUCGGCUUUACUAGUAUUUAUUUAUAUCUAGUACUAUUAGUUGACUUUGUGGGCUUAUAGUAAAUUGUCUGUAAACUAAGAUAUUUGUUGAAAUAUAACACGAAACCACAAUCUUGAAUUGCUGCAUGUUUAUUUUAUCUUUUAUAGAUCAGGAUGAAGGAAAAUAUUGUCAGCUGAAAUUUAGCCAAUAAGAUAUAUAAGAAAAUAUUGAAAUAACAUUUAUAAGAUUCUCUAAAGGAAAUAGAAUAUUACGUGGGCGUGAUGAUGAUAAUCGCGAGACAUUAAAACUAGAAAUACGUAAACACCAAAAACCCUAGAACGAAAGAUGAUUCGUAUGUGACGUACUCGGGAAGGAUCCUUAAAAGCGUGAAUUAGGUUUUUACAUAUUAAAUUGAGGCUACUUUCUGUGUAUGAUGAUUUUUUAGUAUUUUUUCUUGUAU